Molecule: ribosomal RNA, 253 nt
Filed under: uncultured bacterium
Lineage: Bacteria
Description: partial 16S ribosomal RNA
Rfam family: Bacterial small subunit ribosomal RNA
Source: RNAcentral
UACGUAGGACGCAAGCGUUAUCCGGAUUUAUUGGGUUUAAAGGGUGCGUAGGCGGGAUUAUAAGUCAGUGGUGAAAUACUGUCGCUCAACGAUAGCAUUGCCAUUGAUACUGUAGUUCUUGAGUACAGUUGAGGUAGGCGGAAUGUGUAGUGUAGCGGUGAAAUGCUUAGAUAUUACACAGAACACCGAUUGCGAAGGCAGCUUACUAAGCUGAAACUGACGCUGAUGCACGAAAGCGUGGGGAUCAAACAGG